Molecule: ribosomal RNA, 901 nt
Filed under: uncultured bacterium
Lineage: Bacteria
Description: bacterial SSU rRNA
Rfam family: Bacterial small subunit ribosomal RNA
Source: RNAcentral
GUUUCAGCCGCCGCGGUAAUACGUAGGGUGCGAGCGUUAUCCGGAAUUAUUGGGCGUAAAGAGCUCGUAGGCGGUUUGUCGCGUCUGUCGUGAAAGUCCGGGGCUUAACCCCGGAUCUGCGGUGGGUACGGGCAGACUAGAGUGCAGUAGGGGAGACUGGAAUUCCUGGUGUAGCGGUGGAAUGCGCAGAUAUCAGGAGGAACACCGAUGGCGAAGGCAGGUCUCUGGGCUGUAACUGACGCUGAGGAGCGAAAGCAUGGGGAGCGAACAGGAUUAGAUACCCUGGUAGUCCAUGCCGUAAACGUUGGGCACUAGGUGUGGGGACCAUUCCACGGUUUCCGCGCCGCAGCUAACGCAUUAAGUGCCCCGCCUGGGGAGUACGGCCGCAAGGCUAAAACUCAAAGGAAUUGACGGGGGCCCGCACAAGCGGCGGAGCAUGCGGAUUAAUUCGAUGCAACGCGAAGAACCUUACCAAGGCUUGACAUGUUCUCGAUCGCCGUAGAGAUACGGUUUCCCCUUUGGGGUGGGUUCACAGGUGGUGCAUGGUUGUCGUCAGCUCGUGUCGUGAGAUGUUGGGUUAAGUCCCGCAACGAGCGCAACCCUCGUUCCAUGUUGCCAGCACGUCGUGGUGGGGACUCAUGGGAGACUGCCGGGGUCAACUCGGAGGAAGGUGAGGACGACGUCAAAUCAUCAUGCCCCUUAUGUCUUGGGCUUCACGCAUGCUACAAUGGCCGGUACAAUGGGUUGCGACACUGUGAGGUGGAGCUAAUCCCAAAAAGCCGGUCUCAGUUCGGAUUGGGGUCUGCAACUCGACCCCAUGAAGUCGGAGUCGCUAGUAAUCGCAGAUCAGCAACGCUGCGGUGAAUACGUUCCCGGGCCUUGUACACACCGCCCGUCAAAC